Long non-coding RNA from Tribolium castaneum (red flour beetle), 1398 nucleotides. RefSeq lists it as uncharacterized. The transcript is spliced from 2 exons. NCBI's taxonomy places the organism in Eukaryota, Metazoa, Arthropoda, Insecta, Coleoptera, Tenebrionidae. The record is from RefSeq and is a predicted model, not a curated record.
AAACAACUUACAUCGUCUUUGGUGGAAAAGACCCCAUAUGGCAGAUUUUCAAUGGGAAAAUCGCAGUAUUUUUCGUAUCUUAUGAAGCACUUCAUUGUGAUGGGGACAGCGAACGACUGAGCGGUUUGUUAGCCAAGAAAACUGGUUGCUUUAUGUAUGCAAAACGACAAUAACAAUCGUGACGAAUCAAAUUUUUAAUGCCACACUGUAUUUUUUAGUUAAUUAAAUUGACUAUGUGUCUGUGGUAUAUAUAUACAUUUUAUUCGAUAAAUACUUUACAUACAGGAUCUUUACAAUAAUUCUUGGAUGCUAAGAAGCAACUAAUAAACGAGGUUACUCUAUACUUUGAUUUUUUACAUUUAGGCAAUAUAAUACUUUGGACCCAAAAUUCGCAAAAAAUGUUAAGAAUUUUGGGCCACUCUGUAUAAUAACAUAUCGGUACAUGUACAUGUCGCCACAAACAAGCGAUUUUUUUUUUCAAAUAAUAUUUCAUAUAAAAUGGAAGACUUUGUGUUUUGUUGUUCCACACAGGAAGUAACAAAUCGAUAAAGACCGCUGAAUUGGAUAACAACUCAAUAAACAACGAAUAUGCUAUAAUUUGGCAGUUUCAACAAUUUUAUACAUUUCAUUUCUAACCAUAUAAACAUCUAUAACAACUCACUUGAACUCGUUAUAUAUGUUUUCUUUGGACCGUAAAAUAUAACUGGUGCUUCCCCUAAUUUUGUAGGACUCUUUCUAGUGUUUAGUGAAGAAAAUAAAUGGAACAAAACAGAAAAAGCACCAUUUGACUUAGUUCUAAUUUAGCGAACUAAACUCGAAACUUUUCUAUACAACAUUAUUGCGUCAGCUACACAUUUUUUACCAUAUUAGAAAUAUACGCUACGCACACUUAGUGUUUUUUGGUAUUUUCUAAUGCAAUAUUUUACAUUUAAGACAUUAUUUAACAAUGGUUUAAUAAAUUAUAAGUAAUGAUAAAAUCUGGACAUCGAUUAAAUCAACUUCUAUCACAAAUGUUAACACAUCGAGAUUUUUUACGUCGAAAAAUUUUCUCUCAACUUAUUUUUACGAAACUACUCUAGCUGAUAUGUUUUUAGUUGAUAAAAUUGGUUGACUUUACUUUUUAUAAAUUAACUCGUCUGCGUCCAAAUUAUCUAAUUUUGUUAUAAAGCAGGUUUCGGUUAAGUUUGUCCAGAGUGGACAAUUUGAAACGAAACUCCCUAUAUUUUUGGCACCUAAUUUUCUAUUCCUAAGUUUACCUAUUAAUAAACGAGCGAUUUAAUUGACUUUCAAUUUAACGUAAAUUGGUAAUUGACCUUUCAAGGUUUUGUCAUUCAAUUAACACAAAUAAAGUGUGCUAUUAACAAUACGAGUUAGUUUUAUGAUAAGAUAAGGAACAAA